Molecule: unclassified non-coding RNA, 2414 nt
Filed under: Hevea brasiliensis (rubber tree)
Lineage: Eukaryota; Viridiplantae; Streptophyta; Magnoliopsida; Malpighiales; Euphorbiaceae
Source: RNAcentral
UUUUUUAUUUUUUUUUAUUUUUAUAUAUGUAUAUUUAACCUCCAAACACCAACUUUGUAGUUGUACUUUGAAUUUUGGAUUGCAAUUUUUUCUAGAUCAUUUUUUCUGUGUUCAUGUCGUAUCUCUCUGUUUUAUUAUCAUUGGCAAAUCUAGAUCAUUUCAAUUCAAUUGCAUUUGUGCUGGUGGAGCUAAUUGCUAAAUUUCUUGCUUGAGAUUAGAAUUUUCUAAGCAUUGAUUCAAAGAAUUUCUUCCAUGGCUUUUUGCUUUUAUGGUUUUUAACGAGAAGGAAUUGGGUUUUUGGGGAUUUUAAAGAUUGUUUGCCAAAAACUAAUUGAAAGAUUGCAUGCAGAGAAAUGGAUCAAAUUUCUUUCCAAAAGGCUUCAGUUAUUUUUGGAUUCUCUGCUUUUUAUUUUAUUUUUACAAGUAUCAUUACAAGAUGAUUUUAUGUUUUCUAAAUCUUUUUCAAUACUUCCUUAGCCAGAUGAUUGUGUGUACCGUACAUGUGUUCAGCAUAAAUCAAAUGUGUUCAAUAUAAUCAAGUUCUAGGGUUAAUGGAGAUGAGUGUCAAUUAAGACUCAGCGGCAAAAGCUCCCAAGGUUUGGGGGGCUAAAUAAUGGGUUUCACUUUAAAAUGUUGGUACGCAUAGUAUACCCACAAUCUUCACGUUUGGCCCACCAACAUGAAAAGUAAUUUGUUGUGUACUUCAAAAUGUAUUUUUAAAGUAAAUUUGGCUCCAUUUAUGCUUCUAAUCUCAACCAUGUAACUAGGAAAGGAUCAUCAAAUCAUGUCUUGCAAUGGGAAGUCAACAAACGUCAUGUGGCAUAAAAGUUCAGUUGAUAAAUUUGAUAGGCAAGAGUUACUUCAGCAGAAAGGUUGUGUCAUUUGGAUUACUGGUCUCAGUGGUUCAGGAAAAAGCACUUUGGCAUGUGCUUUGAGCCGAGGAUUGCACUCGAGAGGAAAGUUGACCUACAUACUUGAUGGUGACAAUGUCCGACAUGGCCUGAACAAUGACCUAGGUUUUAAAGCAGAAGACCGGGCAGAAAACAUUCGGAGGAUCGGGGAGGUGGCAAAGCUUUUUGCAGAUGCUGGUGUGAUUUGCAUUGCUAGUUUAAUAUCUCCCUACCGAAAGGACCGAGAUGCUUGUCGUGCAUUAUUAGCAGAUGGAGAUUUUAUUGAGGUGUUCAUGGAUGUGCCACUCCAAGUGUGCGAGGAAAGGGACCCAAAGGGACUGUACAAACUUGCUCGAGCUGGAAAGAUCAAAGGUUUUACCGGGAUUGAUGAUCCAUAUGAACCACCACUAGAUUGUGAGGUGCGUAUCCUAUAAAGGAAAUUCAUGCAUGAUAUCUGGGUUUGAACCUGCUAGUGAACAUGAACUUGCAACUUGAAGAAUUAGACAUGCUUUAAUAUUAAUAAACACCAAAAAGCAUUAAUGCAUGUUUGGUGGAAUUCCUCUGUACAUGUUUGGUAUAUUUAUUUUAACAACCAUUAAUUGGUGAGUUUUGCAGAUAGUACUGAAACAGAUGGGAGACGACUGUUCUUCUCCAUGCGAUAUGGCUGAAAUUGUAAUAAGUUACUUGAAAGAAAAAGGGUAUCUGCAGGCUUAAUAAGCAAAAAAUAGAGGUAAAAAUAAAAUAGCUUCCUGGUGAAAGCUUUCAGCCCCCUGUAGCUGAAGCCUAUAUUCACCACAACAUAAAAUGCUGAAUUAUUGGAAAUGAAUUUAUUUCCAUUUGGCAAGGAAGCUUCUGCACUGCUGCAUCAAGGAAAUUUCUCGUUUCCUGAACGUAGCAAUCAUAUCAUUUCUGGAAUGGUAAGGGGUUUAGUGUAUAGGUUUUAUCAUCUAGCAAUUUGAUAUUCAUGUUGGAAAAUAAAAUAUCGGGGGCUUGCACUGAAUUCUUGUAUUGAAACAGGCGCUCAGAGCUUUUAGAUUUGUGUAUUUACUGCAAAUAAUACCUAGAAUCGCUUCAUUUACUUAGAAGAUAUAUAUAUAUAUGUUCCUUGUUUUGGGCAGAGAAAUGCUGUUGAGAACAAUUGUUGAUUUAUUAGUAAUUCUUUAAAUUCUUGUACAACUGCUCCCAAAUAAUAUGGGACCUUUUCUUUUUCUCCUCUUCUGUGAGAUUUUUAGUGGGUGUUUUUAUCUUCCCUGUAGAUUUACUGUCUUUCCUUUGAGUAGUAAAUAAGCUGAAAUUCUUGAAGUUCUUUAUUUGGAGUAAGAGUGUGACUCGAAUCUUGAAUGAGCCGAAGUGGGGGUGCAGGUACUAUUUCCUUCUUGGAAUAUACUUGUUUUUCACUUUGUUUUAGGAAUGAAAAAAAAAUGCCUUGAAUGUAAUAAUAGAAAUUUUGUUUUUAAUAAAAUAAAUAUUACUUUAGAAAUCGAAUUGGCUGAUGGUCAGAACUCAAAAAGGCUGCGAUUCUGG